RNAcentral lists this non-coding RNA (45 nucleotides) under Schistosoma bovis. RNAcentral also lists the same sequence under 1 other name. Lineage: Eukaryota; Metazoa; Platyhelminthes; Trematoda; Strigeidida; Schistosomatidae. The record is from RNAcentral.
AUCCAGCUGAUGAGUCACAAAUAAGACGAAACGCGCGUCCUGGAU